Molecule: ribosomal RNA, 465 nt
Filed under: uncultured bacterium
Lineage: Bacteria
Description: partial 16S ribosomal RNA
Rfam family: Bacterial small subunit ribosomal RNA
Source: RNAcentral
CCUACGGGAGGCAGCAGUAGGGAAUCUUCCACAAUGGGCGAAAGCCUGAUGGAGCAACGCCGCGUGGGUGAAGAAGGUCUUCGGAUCGUAAAACCCUGUUGUUAGAGAAGAAAGUGCGUGAGAGUAACUGUUCACGUUUCGACGGUACUUAACGAGAAAGCCACGGCUAACUACGUGCCAGCAGCCGCGGUAAUACGUAGGUGGCAAGCGUUAUCCGGAUUUAUUGGGCGUAAAGGGAACGCAGGCGGCCUGUUAAGUCUGAUGUGAAAGCCUUCAGCUUAACCGGAGUAGUGCAUUGGAAACGGGGAGACGUGAGUGCAGAAGAGGAGAGUGGAACUCCAUGUGUAGCGGUGAAAUGCGUAGAUAUAUGGAAGAACACCAGUGGCGAAAGCGGCUCUCUGGUCUGUAACUGACGCUGAGGUUCGAAAGCGUGGGUAGCAAACAGGAUUAGAUACCCUAGUAGUC